Molecule: ribosomal RNA, 300 nt
Filed under: uncultured Spirochaeta sp.
Lineage: Bacteria; Pseudomonadati; Spirochaetota; Spirochaetia; Spirochaetales; Spirochaetaceae
Description: bacterial SSU rRNA
Rfam family: Bacterial small subunit ribosomal RNA
Source: RNAcentral
GCUAGCUCCGUGCCGGCGGCCGCGGGAUUACGGGGGGUGCAGGUGUGGUCCGGAUGUAUGGGGUUUAAAGGGUGCGUAGGCGGCCCGUUAAGUCAGCGGUGAAGUCCCACGGCUCAACCGUGGAACUGCCGUUGAUACUGGCGGGCUUGAGUUCGGUCGAGGCGGGCGGAACUGGCGGUGUAGCGGUGAAAUGCUUAGAUACCGCCAAGAACCCCGAUUGCGUAGGCAGCUCGCUGGGCCGAAACUGACGCUGAGGCACGAAAGCGUGGGGAGCGAACAGGAUUAGAUACCCGAGUAGUC